RNAcentral lists this ribosomal RNA (292 nucleotides) under uncultured bacterium. Its description in RNAcentral is "partial 16S ribosomal RNA". It matches the Rfam family "Bacterial small subunit ribosomal RNA", at positions 505 to 796 of the family's 1533-position model. The record is from RNAcentral.
GUGCCAGCAGCCGCGGUAAUACAGAGGUCCCAAGCGUUGUUCGGAUUCAUUGGGCGUAAAGGGUGCGUAGGUGGCGCUGUAAGUCGGGUGUGAAAUCCUGGAGCUUAACUCCGAAACUGCAUUCGAUACUGCCGUGCUUGAGGACUGGAGAGGAGACUGGAAUUUACGGCGUAGCGGUGAAAUGCGUAGAUAUCGUAAGGAAGACCAGUGGCGAAGGCGGGUCUCUGGACAGUUCCUGACGCUGAGGCACGAAGGUCAGGGGAGCAAACGGGAUUAGAAACCCGGGUAGUCC